CUCUGUGUAACGACCCGGAAACCGGACCGCUAUCGGCGCUAGGAUCCAGAUCGACUUAAGGUCGCCGGGACCCGUAGCAAGCCUAACAUACAUCCUGUACAACUGGUAUAAUCCCAUACAUGAUCAAACAUAAACAUAAAACUUUAAAACAUUUACUAUACUAAGUUUGACCUGAACAUACAACAUAUUAUAAACAUAUAACCCACACCAGAGCCUUCAUCAAAUGCCCUAGUGUGGUCAACAUUACAUAUGUCAAGCCUGGUUUCUCAUGAGACAUCAUUACAAACAUAACAUACUGAUCAUGUAUAAGAAAGGAUUAACCAAACCUUAGGGCCAAGCACAAUACUAAUCCAUAAACAUAACUCUACUUUACGUUACAUUAUAUUACAUUAUCUUAAAAUACAUUAUAUCGAUUUACAUUACAUGUCCACUACUAUUCUAUUACAUAGCCAAAACUUUACCCUUGACGUCUUCCUGGACUACCUCUGACCUGCAAUCUGGGGUUAGGGGAGAGGGGUGAGCUAAAAAGCCCAGUGAGUAGAACAAUAAUAAAAAUCAUUUAAACAUAUGCUUUCAUGAAAUGCAUCGCAUCACAAACAUAUCACGUCAAGGAUGAACUUGUCAUCAAUAGCCCUCUACAUGUCUCAUAGCAUAACAUGUCCAACUAUGCCAGGGGCGAUACGGCCACGCCUAGUCUUCUCUUACAUAACUCAUAUCAUAAAAUGUCCAACUAUGCCAGGGGCGAUACGGCCACGCCUGGUCUUCUCUUACAUAUAACAUAUUGCCAGGGGCGAUACGGCCACACCUAGUCUUUCCAUCUCAUGUCAUAUCAUAUCAUAUCAUAUCAUAUCAUAUCGUACUGAGGGCUAAAGGAUCAUCCAAUAUCCAUCCACAUCGUCAUCAUAGUAUUAUGCAAUGCAUCAUAUUCGUGAAUUCUAAUGCAAACAACCUAUUACAUAACAUGGUAUUCAUGAUGCAUGAACAUGCUUAAAACAUUUGAUUUAUUUUAAAACAUAAAGUUCAGUUCUACUCACCUCUGGCUAGCUCUGGACUAACUCUGAAGCAGCUAACACUGCUGAACACCUCGGUUCCUCAGGUCCGAUCCUACACAGGUGGACUCAAAUGAGGGACCAAACAACUCUAACAUAACACUAAACAUCUCCCCAAAAACACCUCAAAACAUGCAAGCAAAACAGGCAAAGGAAGGCUGGACAGGGCAGCUUCGGCGGCACAUUCGGCGGCCGAAUGCUCCCACAGAUCCGAAAGUCAGGCACUUUCGGAGGCAGGUUCGGCGGCCGAAAGUCUCCUCCAGAGACGAAAGCCAGGCACUUUCGGUGGCACCUUCGGCGGCCGAAAGUGUCUUCCAGAGCCGAAAGUCCAUUUUCGGGGGCAAGGUUAGGCGGCCAAAGAUUGCUUCCACAGGCAGGUUCGGAAGCCGAAACUACCUUCGGCGGCCGAACCUGGGUUCCCCAGCAAGGCAGAACCCGUUUCCGCCUCAUGCAAUCCGCCUCCAACACCUCCCACCCUCACAUCCAACACUUCCAAAACAUGCACAACUCAUACAACAAGCAUAUAGGGGUCUCAAACUAGCCUAAACCCCCAACAAACAUCACAUAAACAUGCAUUAACAUACUUUUAUCAUAAAGGGUAUCAAAACCCUAACAUGCACAUCCAUACAACUCAUGCAUUCCUAGCCCUUAACCCUUCAUAAAACUCACUUAAAACAUCAUAAAAGAUAAAGAUCUACACUUACCUCUUGAAGAUCGAGGGUUGGUGCGACCCAAAUUUAGAGAUAUGGAGAACCCAAGUUCCAAAAGUCUCCAAGCUCUCAAAACCUUGAUCAAAGCUUAAAACUCUUCAAAGCAAAGAUAAAACUCAUGACAACUUGAAGGAUUUGAAGAAAAAGCAUAAAAACAACCAAAGGAGAGCAUGAACUCACCUAUGCCCGAAAAGAGAGAGAAAACUCGCCCAUUUUCCGGACAAAGGGCCUUUUAUAGGUGACCGGCCAAAUCUCCUUCGGCGGCCAAAGCUGCUUCCAAAGCUUCACCACGUUCGGCGGCCGAACUUGGGGUUCGGCGGCAGCAAAAGGAAGCCACUUUCAGAAGCCUAACGUGCCUCCUAAACUGCCCCAUGUUCGGCGGCCGAACGUGGGUUCUUCCCUCCUUGGUCUUUUCUUUCAAAACGCAAAUCCU
Molecule: long non-coding RNA, 2192 nt
Filed under: Manihot esculenta (cassava)
Lineage: Eukaryota; Viridiplantae; Streptophyta; Magnoliopsida; Malpighiales; Euphorbiaceae
Description: long non-coding RNA (MESC_LNC003607)
Source: RNAcentral